Molecule: ribosomal RNA, 459 nt
Filed under: uncultured bacterium
Lineage: Bacteria
Description: partial 16S ribosomal RNA
Rfam family: Bacterial small subunit ribosomal RNA
Source: RNAcentral
CCUACGGGAGGCUGCAGUGAGGAAUAUUGGUCAAUGGGCGGGAGCCUGAACCAGCCAAGUCGCGUGAGGGAUGACGGCCCUAUGGGUUGUAAACCUCUUUUGCCGGGGAGCAAAGUUCCGCACGUGUGCGGUUUGGAGAGUACCCGGAGAAAAAGCAUCGGCUAACUCCGUGCCAGCAGCCGCGGUACUACGGGGGAUGCGAGCGUUCUCCGGAUUUAUUGGGUUUAAAGGUUGCGUAGGCGGACGCUUAAGUCCGCGGUAAAAUGGCGGGGCUCAACCUCGUCGAGCCGUUGAGACUGGGUGCCUUGAGUGGGCGAGAAGUACGCGGAAUGCGUGGUGGAGCGGUGAAAUGCAUAGAGAGCACGCAGAACUCCGAUUGCGAAGGCAGCGUACCGGCGCCCAACUGACGCUGAAGCACGAAGGCGUGGGUAUCGAACAGGAUUAGAUACCCUUGUAGUC